RNA transcript from Meriones unguiculatus (Mongolian gerbil), 6011 nucleotides. It is a transcript of the gene named G protein-coupled receptor kinase 5, with no coding region annotated. The transcript is spliced from 20 exons. NCBI's taxonomy places the organism in Eukaryota, Metazoa, Chordata, Mammalia, Rodentia, Muridae. The record is from RefSeq and is a predicted model, not a curated record.
GAGGGAGGGGGGAGGGGGGACACAGAGGGAGGAAGAAGCGGCGGCGGCGGCGGCUCCUCGGUGCAGAGGGGGAAACUGUGGGCUCGGAGCAAGAAUAAUGCGGUAGCAAGGCGGGCUGCUUGCUCCUGGCUCUGGCAGCAGCGAAGGUAGCCCCAGCAGCGGCAGCGGCAUCACCUCAGACGCUGACAGCCCCGCCGGCCGGCUCCCUCGCUGACUGCCGACUGUCAAUGGAGCUGGAAAACAUAGUGGCCAACACGGUCUUGCUGAAAGCCCGGGAAGGGGGUGGAGGAAAGCGCAAAGGGAAAAGCAAGAAGUGGAAGGAAAUCCUGAAGUUUCCUCACAUCAACCAGUGUGAAGACCUCCGAAGGACCAUGGACAGAGAUUACUACAGUCUAUGUGACAAGCAACCAAUUGGGAGACUGCUUUUUCGACAGUUCUGUGAAACCAGGCCUGGACUGGAGUGCUACAUUCAGUUCCUGGACUUAGUGGCAGAAUAUGAAGUUACUCCAGAUGAAAAACUUGGAGAGAAGGGGAAAGAAAUAAUGACCAAGUACCUUACUCCAAAGAGUUUCUUAUUGAACCUGGAGUUCACCAUUUCAGCUAGAUUGGCUGGCCAACAAGCCCCAAGAUCUUCCUGUUUCUGCUUCCUCAGUGCUGGAGUUACCAUCACAUCCAGAUUUUAUGUGGGUCCCGGGGAUCUGAACUCAGGUCCUGAUGCUUAUGCAGAUGCAUCCCCAGUCUUCAUUGCCCAAGUUGGCCAGGACCUGGUCUCCCAGACAGAGAUGAAGCUCCUGCAGAGGCCCUGCAAAGAACUCUUCUCUGCUUGUGCUCAGUCUGUACAUGACUUCUUGAAGGGAGACCCCUUUCAUGAGUACCUGGAUAGCAUGUAUUUCGACCGUUUUCUGCAGUGGAAAUGGUUAGAAAGACAACCAGUGACCAAAAAUACUUUCCGGCAGUAUCGAGUGCUGGGCAAAGGGGGCUUUGGAGAGGUCUGUGCCUGCCAGGUUCGGGCCACUGGUAAAAUGUAUGCUUGCAAACGCUUAGAGAAGAAGAGGAUCAAAAAAAGGAAAGGAGAGUCAAUGGCACUCAAUGAAAAGCAGAUUCUUGAGAAGGUCAACAGCCAGUUUGUGGUCAACCUGGCUUAUGCCUAUGAGACCAAAGAUGCGCUGUGCCUGGUUCUGACCAUCAUGAAUGGGGGUGAUCUGAAGUUUCAUAUCUACAACAUGGGGAACCCUGGCUUUGAGGAAGAGCGAGCCUUGUUUUAUGCAGCUGAGAUCCUCUGUGGCCUGGAAGACUUACACCGUGAGAAUACUGUCUAUAGAGAUCUGAAACCCGAAAACAUCCUGCUAGAUGAUUAUGGCCACAUCAGGAUCUCAGACCUGGGACUGGCUGUGAAGAUCCCUGAGGGAGACCUUAUCCGUGGCCGGGUAGGCACUGUUGGCUACAUGGCCCCAGAAGUCCUGAACAACCAGCGAUAUGGGCUGAGCCCUGACUACUGGGGCCUGGGCUGCCUCAUCUAUGAGAUGAUUGAGGGCCAGUCACCAUUUCGAGGCCGCAAGGAGAAAGUUAAGCGGGAAGAGGUGGAUCGCCGGGUGCUGGAAACUGAGGAGGUGUACUCCCUCAAGUUCUCCGAAGAGGCCAAGUCCAUCUGCAGCAUGCUGCUCAUCAAAGACUCGAAGCAGAGGCUGGGCUGCCAGGAGGAGGGGGCUGCCGAAGUCAAGAGGCACCCCUUCUUCAGGAACAUGAAUUUUAAGCGCCUGGAGGCUGGGAUGUUGGACCCUCCCUUCGUUCCAGAUCCACGGGCUGUGUACUGCAAGGAUGUGCUAGACAUUGAGCAGUUCUCCACUGUGAAAGGCGUCAACCUGGACCACACAGAUGACGACUUCUACUCCAAGUUCUCCACAGGCUCUGUGCCAAUCCCAUGGCAAAAUGAGAUGAUAGAAACAGAAUGCUUUAAGGAGCUGAAUGUGUUUGGACCCAACGGUACCCUCUCACCGGACCUGAACAGAAGUCAGCUUCCAGAACCACCAAAGAAAGGGCUGUUCCACAGACUCUUCAGGCGUCAGGGCAGGAAGCAUCUUCAGGCUCAUGGGAAGUGCAGACUGAGCUCCACCCCCUGCCAAGUUUGUGUGUUUUCUAUAAGAACUUCAUAUUUAGGCUUUCUUAAUUCCAUGGACCUUCCCAGGCACCAGACAAAACCCUCUGCUCAGGGAGCAGGCUGUAGACUCAGGUCUGCUGGGAAGAAUGCAAAAAAGCAAAGAGAAGCAGCAUCAGAACAAUUCCAAGAGUUCACCCACUCCUAAGACCAGUUGUAACCACCGUAUUAAUUCAAACCACAUCAAUUCAAACUCCACUGGAAGCAGCUAGUUUCAGCUCUGGUCUAGAAGUAAAAAAUGUAACCAGCUCAGACCCUUCUACUUGGAAGCAGAACUUGUAGCCAAUGGAGCUUCCACUGUGGCUGGGUGGCCAGGAGAGUGCCCCCAGGAACCGGGAUAGGAUAUUGUUCACCCCAACAACAAGCCUCCAAGUUUCUCAAAGAAAUUUUCACUCAGCCUUUUUCCUCAGUGUAUCUGUCACUCUCCUGUUGACUUGUAACAAUCUGAAUGAAAUGCCAAAAUACACUUGGUACAUCAUCUCCCUCCACUCCUGACCCAAACACUCUGGGAGCUCUGACAUCAUUGGUAAGAGUACUUCAAUGGGCAGGCAUUUGACAUUGCAGUUUCACUUGGCCUCCUGCUUUAGGGCAUGUAGCAUGCAGGGCAAGGAAUCUUAUAUCAUUGAGAUAGAGAUCUUGGCUGCUAAAGCCAGUGGUUUUCAAGAGGUUUCUGUUGGGUUCAGGGAUGUCUGUUGUAUAUUACUUUUAGGAGUUUGUACUGAUGGUAAUGACCAGUCAUGAAAACCCAAGUGUUCCCAACCAUGGAACUACGGAGAAGUUGAAUUGGGGUCCAUCCUGAGUGACUGCCUCCAAGCCUGUUUAGACCUUGGCUGGUCAAUAAAGUGAUCACAGAUCAUGACACCUUCAUAUGGCCCCACAUACUUGUUGGCUCAUGUGACGUGAAGAAAGUCAUCUCUCCAGGAAAAUGGGAUGCCUGAGAGGAAUCCCACGUACUAGUGAAGUGCAAGACAAUCUCAUUGUCACUUCCCCAGGAGAGCUGGGCCAGAGGCUUGUUCUAAUGGGCAUCUCAAAGACAGGCACAAGUCAUUCCUAUAAGACUUGGUGGACUCACCUUUACAACUCUAGGAAGUUGCUGCUCAGCCCCUGAAGUCCCAGGAGGUGACAAGGUACAGAUUUGCCCUCACCUUCCCUCCAGGACAGGGUAAGCAGCUAAUCUCACUACUUCCUGGGAGGCUGAGGCUCUGAAUAUGAUGACUCUGCCUCAAAACUGGUUUCAGCCACCACCAAUUACUAGGAUUUCUUGCAAGGUGAACCAGGUGCUACCUGAAUCAGCUCCUGUUAAAAUGCAAACUCCUGGGCCACACUCCAAGCCUACUACUUGGUGAUCUUAUUUUAUAGUACAGGAUAGUAUCAAACUCAAAACCCUCCUGCCUCAACCUCUGGAGUUCUAGGAUUGAAAAUGCAUACUACCAUGGAGUCUGUGUCUUUACUAAGCUACCCACACCCUUCUGGUACCCUGUUGUGUGAGAACCAUCCCCCUAUGGGUAUGGCCUAAAUGCCAUGUUUUUCUGAGGGACAUGACAACUUUGGGACUUAAGCCUGUCAGCAGGAAAAUCCCAAGUAUGUCAGUCUCAUAUCUUUGAUCCCAAACUCUUCCAGAGUUCACUGCUGGAAAAGAACCUGGACUUUGGGGCUGAUCAUCCUGAAGUCAUUUAAUCAUGAGAAAGAAAACAGCCAGGCUGUUUUCCAUGGAGCAGGAUUAACUUCAAGCCUGGCCCCGAGGCUGCCUCUGAACUUUUCUUGGGGUGAACAUGAAGCAAAUACAAACAACCAUAUCUAGGUUCUAUUGGGGAGCAGGACACUCAGUACUUCCGGGUCAUCAAGCUCUUGCUGACUCUUCUUCCUUGAGGAAAAGAAGAAUUGUCAUCCUCCUGGGCUGGUCUUCAGCCCCAGCACAGACAACCCCUGCCUCCUUCUCACAGGUUUGUUUCUGUUUCACCACCCACAGCCAUUAACCCUUGUCUAGUGGGUAACUCUUAGGAAGAAGUUUCUCCUUAGGCCUUGAUGUCAAGGCAAUGUGCAUUUGUAGCAGAGAAUCCCUAGAAAGCUAAAAAGAGAAUGGAAGUCUGGCCACCAUGUGUUCCCAUCACGAGGUCCUGAAAGGCCUGUGCACUGAAAUGUACCUGAGUGCCUGUGGGGAGUUAGGGUAGCCACAUGAUUCAGUCUUUUAGUUUGUUUUGGCCCACUCAUGGUUUUAUAACAAGAGACCAACCAGUGGCUGAAAACUGGUUCUCCUCCCUGACUGACUCUUCCUCCUGCCUUUGUUUCUAUAGCUGCAUUUUAGAUGUUUUGUUUGUUUGUUUUGCUUUUUGUUUGUUUGUUUUGUCUAAUGACAACAAGCCCUCUGUCCAUUCACCUCUCUGGGAGUAAGUGUAUGUGGACAGCGAACAGAUGAUACUCUAUUGUGCAUUUGAGCUCUUUGUAGAAGACACUUUCUUCAAGUGUUGUAUUUUUCUCAUCAAAUGUUCACUGACUGGAAGUGAGAAGUUUCUCUCCUUUUGUUGUUUGGGAGAUAGGCCUCUGUCUGAAGUGAACAGUGUGCUCUCUGCUAUUAUCACCCUUUGUGUGUGUGAGACUCUGAAUAUCACUCCAGAAUAUCAAGAAGGCCUGACCCCACCUUCCAGGAAGAUGGUGUCUAGCCUCUGCCCUUUCUUGAACCUGAACCACAAGGCCCCAGGUUCACUCACCUGCCUAGGGCCUGAGUCUGGCUGAAACCACAGGGCUGGUCUCUGGAUAAAUUCUGUUAUCCAAAGUUGUUCUUUUGGAGGGGCAGCAAGAGGUUUGCCAUACAAACACAGCCAGGUAGCCUCAAUGGCAAGCAUGCCUCAAAGUUACUGCCCCGUGAUGUUUCUGAUGAGUUCACGUGAAUGGGGACAUGUGCGUGAUGCAUCUUUGCAUUAGGAGCACAAGAUUGGAGCCUACCCCUGAGAAAACUAAGGUCAGGAAAUUUUCAUACUUUUCCAAGGAACUUAGACCCACUAUUGAAAUCCAUCAUGAACUUUCUUGAAAGGCUGGCUCUGUUUUCCAGAAAAUUCACUGAGCUAUUAACCUCAACAUAGAGCAGUAAUGCAGCCUCCUGGACCUUGGCAUUCUAAGACUUCACAGAGGGAAUGGUGGCAGCUUCUUGGACAACUUGAGGUCCCAAGAGAGGAAGAGAAAAGGCUGAUCCAAACAACACUGGGCUCUUCUCUUGGGAUACUGUGUGCUUGCUUUUCUGGCUGUAUCCUUAUCCCCUUCCAAGUGUCUCCCAUCUUCAUAACCCAAUAUCCUGAGAUAAGACCUUCUAACUUCUUGGAUUUUGCUAUGGAAAGGUGGUAUAAAGUAUCUUCUUCCACCUUCUGUACCUGUUUAUACAACCAGCCACUCAGCUAUUGAAGCUGACAGGUAUGUAGGCCAGAUCCCAUAUAGGCACAUGAGUUGCCUUCUCUGAUCCAAACUGAAGUCUUGACUCAGGACAAUGAUUUAACAUGUGACAAGCUAGCUCACCCUCGGAAAGAAAUAUCCUUCACCCCAAAAUAAGAUGCUGGACAUUUUUCCAGUUUAUUGAUACAUCAUUCCAUAAUAGAUUGCAAGUAAAUAUUCUCCAUUGGAAAGGCAUUGUGGUUACUGGCAUUAUUAUAAUUCUGUUAUCCAAAGUUUCCUUUUUUUUUUUUUCAGGGAGAUUUUAGCAGUAAUGAAUGAACAUGGUUCCAUCUUGGAGGUUAUUGUCAAUGAUAACAGCUUCUGUUGUGCUGCUCUGAACCUCUUGUGUUCUGUUCACUGUGUCACAGUGCCACUAUAUCUAGCCACAACCACUGCUGUUUCAUAAAGAGAAAUAAAUUCCUUAAUGAACAUA